Molecule: ribosomal RNA, 497 nt
Filed under: uncultured bacterium
Lineage: Bacteria
Description: partial 16S ribosomal RNA
Rfam family: Bacterial small subunit ribosomal RNA
Source: RNAcentral
GAUGAACGCUGGCGGCGUGCCUAAUACAUGCAAGUCGAGCGAACGGACGAGAAGCUUGCUUCUCUGAUGUUAGCGGCGGACGGGUGAGUAACACGUGGAUAACCUACCUAUAAGACUGGGAUAACUUCGGGAAACCGGAGCUAAUACCGGAUAAUAUUUUGAACCGCAUGGUUCAAAAGUGAAAGACGGUCUUGCUGUCACUUAUAGAUGGAUCCGCGCUGCAUUAGCUAGUUGGUAAGGUAACGGCUUACCAAGGCAACGAUGCAUAGCCGACCUGAGAGGGUGAUCGGCCACACUGGAACUGAGACACGGUCCAGACUCCUACGGGAGGCAGCAGUAGGGAAUCUUCCGGAAUGGGCGAAAGCCUGGCCGGGCAACGCCGCGGGAGUGAUGGAGGGCCUCGGAUCGGAAAACUCUGUUAUUAGGGAAGAACAAAUGUGUAAGGAACUGUUCCCAUCUUGACGGUACCUAAACAGAAAGCCACGGCUAACUACGUG